This 550-nucleotide ribosomal RNA is filed under the name uncultured bacterium. RNAcentral's name for it is "bacterial SSU rRNA". It matches the Rfam family "Bacterial small subunit ribosomal RNA", at positions 355 to 896 of the family's 1533-position model. The record is from RNAcentral.
UGGGGAAUCUUCCGCAAUGGGCGAAAGCCUGACGGAGCAACGCCGCGUGAGUGAUGACGGCCUUCGGGUUGUAAAACUCUGUGAUCCGGGACGAAAAGGCAGAGUGCGAAGAACAAACUGCAUUGACGGUACCGGAAAAGCAAGCCACGGCUAACUACGUGCCAGCAGCCGCGGUAAUACGUAGGUGGCAAGUGUUGUCCGGAAUUAUUGGGCGUAAAGCGCGCGCAGGCGGCUUCCCAAGUCCCUCUUAAAAGUGCGGGGCUUAACCCCGUGAUGGGAAGGAGACUGGGAAGCUGGAGUAUCGGAGAGGAAAGUGGAAUUCCUAGUGUAGCGGUGAAAUGCGUAGAGAUUAGGAAGAACACCGGUGGCGAAGGCGACUUUCUGGACGAAAACUGACGCUGAGGCGCGAAAGCGUGGGGAGCAAACAGGAUUAGAUACCCUGGUAGUCCACGCCGUAAACGAUGGAUACUAGGUGUAGGAGGUAUCGACCCCUCCUGUGCCGGAGUUAACGCAAUAAGUAUCCCGCCUGGGAAGUACGAUCGCAAGAUUA